This 140-nucleotide ribosomal RNA is filed under the name uncultured alga. RNAcentral describes it as "partial 16S ribosomal RNA". It matches the Rfam family "Bacterial small subunit ribosomal RNA", at positions 354 to 501 of the family's 1533-position model. The record is from RNAcentral.
GUGGGGAAUUUUCCGCNNAUGGNCGAAAGCCUGACGGAGCAAUACCGCGUGAGGGAUGAAGGCUCUGUGGGUCAGUAAACCUACUUUUUCCCAAGGAAGAAGUUNCUGNACGGUACNUGGGGNAAUAAGCAUCGGCUAAU